RNAcentral lists this unclassified non-coding RNA (486 nucleotides) under uncultured fungus. Its description in RNAcentral is "sequence contains ITS2". Lineage: Eukaryota; Fungi. The record is from RNAcentral.
AACGCAUAUUGCACCCUCUGGUAUUCCGGAGGGUAUGCUUGUUUGAGAACCGUUACAUCUCUCACAAACUGGACCUGAUUUCGGUCAGGAAAGGCAAGUGGAUCUGGCCGUUCCCUGCAAAAACCUUUUUAUUAAGGUUUUAAUGGGAUGUGCUGAAAUUCAGUGAUCGGAGCUUGCGUGCUUAAAGGGUUUUCUCUCUAACAGUACCGUACUCUUUGAUAACCGACGUAGAUUAAUUGGGUACUUUGUUACCUUUUCUCAGCGUCCGGAAAAUCGAGUCGCGAAACUUGAAAGAAUUCAUCCCAAACCUUUUCGCUAUGCCUAUAAGGUAACCGCGAGUAUACGGCUCAUACCUGAACAUGCCAGGCGAUCUAUAUACCGAAACUGUCCCCGUACUUGCUUGCGAGUGGUUGGAUGUUUCGAUGCAAUAGGUUGUACACCUGAUACUUUGGUCUCAAAUCAAGCAAGACGACCCGCUGAACUUAA